RNAcentral lists this ribosomal RNA (253 nucleotides) under uncultured bacterium. Its description in RNAcentral is "partial 16S ribosomal RNA". It matches the Rfam family "Bacterial small subunit ribosomal RNA", at positions 524 to 776 of the family's 1533-position model. The record is from RNAcentral.
UACGGGGGGGGCAAGCGUUGUUCGGAAUUACUGGGCGUAAAGGGCUCGUAGGCGGCCAACUAAGUCAGACGUGAAAUCCCCAGGCUCAACCUGAGAACUGCGUCUGAUACUGGAUGGCUUGAAUCCGGGAGAGGGAUGCAGAAUUCCAGGUGUAGCGGUGAAAUGCGUAGAUAUCUGGAGGAAUACCGGUGGCGAAGGCGGCAUCCUGGACCGGCAUUGACGCUGAGGAGCGAAAGCCAGGGGAGCAAACGGG